AGCAGCAUGGCGCAGUGGUAGCGCGCGGGGCCCAUAUAAGGCAGGCCGCACAAUCUUCGGCACCCCGAGGUCACUUGAUCGAAACAAGUUGCUGCUA
This is a non-coding RNA of Lentinula aff. lateritia, 97 nucleotides long. NCBI's taxonomy places the organism in Eukaryota, Fungi, Basidiomycota, Agaricomycetes, Agaricales, Omphalotaceae. The record is from the annotation of a GenBank genome assembly.